Molecule: long non-coding RNA, 211 nt
Filed under: Hordeum vulgare
Lineage: Eukaryota; Viridiplantae; Streptophyta; Magnoliopsida; Poales; Poaceae
Description: long non-coding RNA (HVUL_LNC003683)
Source: RNAcentral
UUUUAGUUUGUCUUAGUUUUGCUUGCUGUUCAUAACAAGUCAGAACCUAGCCUUCCUUGUUUGGGAGAUAAACACGCUCCACUCCACUCUAGAACACAACAUAGGUUUUCAUGCUUAUCUUUUAUGUGUGUUCUUUAUCUUUUCAUAUCUACUGUCAUGCUUAGCUCUUAUUUUUCAUGCUUUAUCUUUUUAAGAGCUUUUAUUUAGGUUG